This 393-nucleotide ribosomal RNA is filed under the name uncultured bacterium. Its description in RNAcentral is "partial 16S ribosomal RNA". It matches the Rfam family "Bacterial small subunit ribosomal RNA", at positions 523 to 918 of the family's 1533-position model. The record is from RNAcentral.
AUACGGAGGAUCCGAGCGUUAUCCGGAUUUAUUGGGUUUAAAGGGAGCGUAGGCGGACGCUUAAGUCAGUUGUGAAAGUUUGCGGCUCAACCGUAAAAUUGCAGUUGAUACUGGGUGUCUUGAGUACAGUAGAGGCAGGCGGAAUUCGUGGUGUAGCGGUGAAAUGCUUAGAUAUCACGAAGAACUCCGAUCGCGAAGGCAGCUCACCGGGCCGGAACUGACACUGAUGCUCGAAAGUGCGGGUAUCAAACAGGAUUAGAUACCCUGGUAGUCCGCACAGUAAACGAUGAAUACUCGCUGUUUGCGAUACACGGUAAGCGGCCAAGCGAAAGCGUUAAGUAUUCCACCUGGGGAGUACGCCGGCAACGGUGAAACUCAAAGGAAUUGACGGGG